UACGUAGGGGGCGAGCGUUGUCCGGAGUUACUGGGCGUAAAGCGCACGCAGGCGGUCUGCUAAGUUUGGAGUGACAGUUGGUGGCUUAACUGCCAAAGUGCUUCGAAAACUGACAGACUUGAGGGCUUCAGAGGGACACGGAAUUCCGGGUGGAGUGGUGGAAUGCGUAGAGAUCCGGAGGAACACCAAAGGCGAAGGCAGUGUCCUGGGGAGUACCUGACGCUCAGGUGCGAAAGCCAGGGGAGCGAACGGG
This 253-nucleotide ribosomal RNA is filed under the name uncultured bacterium. Its description in RNAcentral is "partial 16S ribosomal RNA". It matches the Rfam family "Bacterial small subunit ribosomal RNA", at positions 524 to 776 of the family's 1533-position model. The record is from RNAcentral.